GAGGGUAUAGCUCCAGUGGUAGAGCACAUGCUUAACAUGCAGGAGGCCCUGAGUUCAAUCCCUAGUACCUCCU
Molecule: transfer RNA, 73 nt
Organism: Camelus ferus (Wild Bactrian camel)
Lineage: Eukaryota; Metazoa; Chordata; Mammalia; Artiodactyla; Camelidae
Rfam family: tRNA
About the family: Transfer RNA (tRNA) molecules are approximately 80 nucleotides in length.
Source: Rfam